CUGUUGUUUUGAUCAUGUCAGACGUUCAGAAGAAGUGGGAGGAUAGCUCUUGGGGAAGAAAACUACUCGUGAAGAAAAGAAGGGCAUCACUUAAUGAUUUUGAUAGGUUCAAGCUAAUGUUGGCUAAGAUAAAGAGAGCUGGAUUGGUGAGGCAAGAGCUUGCAAAGCUGAAAAAGAGUGAAUCUUAGAAAGUGUAUUUCUCUAGCGUCAAAUUUUGUUACUAGUUGAAGUUAUCAGUUUUGGAUUUUGUUCAAUUCUGUUUCUCAAGCCUCAGGAGUUCGGGGCUGUUCGGGGUUGUUUUGAGGUUUAUGGAAUUCUGGACAUCUAGUGUAGCGAGUUUUUACUUGAUUUCUUCACAAGAUGCCUACAUCACUCCAAUUAAGCAAGCAUGUAUCUGAAUCUGCUGAGUGCUGAUGUUUUUCUACUCAACUGUUAAAAUCGGGUUUCUGUGGCUAUGGAUAUGGUUUUCGAUUUCUAUUUGCUUUUCUGAAUUUUAUGUCUGGAUUCCCUUGAGUGUCCCAUUCAUUGAUGAAAUAUUAGAUACUGCAGUUGUGCUACAAAUUAAGAUGAUUUCAAGCAUGGUUUCAUGA
Cucurbita pepo subsp. pepo (vegetable marrow) is the source of this 590-nucleotide non-coding RNA. The record is from RefSeq and is a predicted model, not a curated record. NCBI's taxonomy places the organism in Eukaryota, Viridiplantae, Streptophyta, Magnoliopsida, Cucurbitales, Cucurbitaceae.